CACUCCAAAGGAGAAGUUGGUCAAUGGAAUUUGGGCAAAAGUUUGGAUUUCUUUGAUUCUAGAGUGGAGGGUAAUGUGUGAGGCUGGUUUCACAAACCAGCAAUAACCUCCUGCUCUUGGCAGUGGAGG
Molecule: non-coding RNA, 129 nt
Filed under: Phaseolus vulgaris (common bean)
Lineage: Eukaryota; Viridiplantae; Streptophyta; Magnoliopsida; Fabales; Fabaceae
Source: RNAcentral